GUAGGUGGCAAGCGUUGUCCGGGAUUUACUGGGGCGUAAAGAGCGCGCAGGCGGCCAGGGUCAGUCGAAUGUGAAAGCCCCCGGGCUCAACUGGGGAGGGUCAUUCGAUACUGCUUGGCUUGAAGAUAGGAGAGGGAAGUGGAAUUUCAGGUGUAGUGGUGAAAUGCGUAGAUAUCUGAAGGAACACCAGUGGCGAAGGCGACUUUCUGGCCUAUUCUUGACGCUGAGGCGCGAAAGCUAGGGGAGCGAACGGGAUUAGAUACCCCGGUAGUCCUAGCCGUAAACGAUGAACACUAGAUGUUGGUGGUAUCAACCCCGCCAGUGUCGUAGCUAACGCAUUAAGUGUUCCGCCUGGGGAGUACGGCCGCAAAGGCUAA
This 377-nucleotide ribosomal RNA is filed under the name uncultured organism. RNAcentral describes it as "partial 16S ribosomal RNA". It matches the Rfam family "Bacterial small subunit ribosomal RNA", at positions 527 to 897 of the family's 1533-position model. The record is from RNAcentral.